CCUACGGGAGGCAGCAGUGAGGAAUAUUGGUCAAUGGACGAGAGUCUGAACCAGCCAAGUAGCGUGAAGGAUGACUGCCCUAUGGGUUGUAAACUUCUUUUAUAUGGGAAUAAAAUGUUCCACGUGUGGGCUUUUGUAUGUACUUUAUGAAUAAGGAUCGGCUAACUCCGUGCCAGCCGCCGCGGUAAUACGGAGGAUCCGAGCGUUAUCCGGAUUUAUUGGGUUUAAAGGGAGCGUAGAUGGGUUGUUAAGUCAGUUGGGAAAGUUUGCGGCUCAACCGUAAAAUUGCAAUUGAUACUGGCAGUCUUGAGUACAGUUGAGGUAGGCGGAAUUCGUGGUGUAGCGGUGAAAUGCUUAGAUAUCACGAAGAACUCCGAUUGCGAAGGCAGCUUACUAAACUGCCACUGACAUUGAUGCUCGAAAGUGUGGGUAUCAAACAGGAUUAGAUACCCCAGUAGUC
RNAcentral lists this ribosomal RNA (460 nucleotides) under uncultured bacterium. Its description in RNAcentral is "partial 16S ribosomal RNA". It matches the Rfam family "Bacterial small subunit ribosomal RNA", at positions 338 to 795 of the family's 1533-position model. The record is from RNAcentral.